UAUUAAAAUCAUUAAAAUCGUAGACAAAACAGAGUUGACGAUUAGCGGACGAUAACGUGCUUAGCGUAUGGAAAAUGCCAAAUGUGAAAUGAAAUCGUUAUGUAAAUGUAAUUGUAAUAUUAUGUUCUUAUGUAGUUUUGUCUGCAGUCUGCAGGAUGGGUCUUUGUGGCGGAGCGGUGGGAAUGUAACGUAUCUGCUUGGAUAUCAUAAUGGAAAUACCCCAAUAAUAUACAAAAACAAUUUUAAUCAUAUAAUGUAUUUUUUGUACAUUUAAAUUGAAUAUUUGAUGAAAUGACUUUAUUGUUAUUAUUAUUUUUAUGAAAUGAUUUGUUUUUUCAAUCAUAGGCCAUAGCGGUUAAUUUUAGAACAAUAUUUAUAGUAAUUGAUUAAUGAAGUAUAAUUUGUUAUAAUUUAUUACAAUUUGUACAAAUAACAAACAUUUAGAUUGUUAAUUUAAUAAAUUAUUGAUGGAGUAUACAAUUAGUUCGUUAAUUGUAAAUUGUAUAACUUAAUUGUUAUUUCAACACUAUUCUUACAGAAUAAACAAAAUAGAUUUCUUGGGGUUAUAUGUACAGUUUUCGGAGUACCGAAUGAAAUCUUAUUAUAUCCAGUUUGCAGAAUAACUACCAGUUUCACGCCUUUGCUCGGCGUCCGCAGCGCCAGCAAUAUCGGGAGUUAAUUUCGGGAGUGACUACUGCCACGCUUCUUUUUCUGUCAACCGGAAAAGUCGUAACCCGUGGAUUUUUGACGUCUUGUCGACGGAAUCGACCGUCACGCCGGGCAUCUGACACCGUCGGAAUCCGUAAUGAAGUCGGUACACACAACCGAUUAUUCAUCGAUGAGAUUUCGGCGAUCCACCGCUAUUCUCGAGAGCUCCUGUGCCGGUGGGCCGUGGGCGGUGUUAUUGCCGACCACAUGGACGUCGAGUUUUCGCACUCCUCGGGCUAUCUGGAAUGAGGAGACAAAACAUUGCCGUAUUUCUGUGCCAAAUAUAUUACUGUUGUCUGUUUGUAUUUCCUUGUCAAUGGCCAUGAGUACUUCGGAUAUUUGUUUGGUCAAAUCUAAUGCGACCGUAUCUGUCACGAGCGUUCAACACAACAAGACAAAAUUAACCAAUAAGGAGAGUUGACUAUGCGGAUACAAAACUCGAAAGCGGGACAUAUGGUCACGUUAUCGAUGAACAGAUUAUGGACGGCCGAAAAAACACAGCUUCAAGUGUCAGUUUUAAAAGCAGUGGUGUUUACAAAAGUUAACUUUAAAAUGUCUUGUCCAGAAUUUUACUCAUUCCUGAAGUC
Long non-coding RNA from Rhopalosiphum padi (bird cherry-oat aphid), 1295 nucleotides. RefSeq lists it as uncharacterized. NCBI's taxonomy places the organism in Eukaryota, Metazoa, Arthropoda, Insecta, Hemiptera, Aphididae. The transcript is spliced from 4 exons. The record is from RefSeq and is a predicted model, not a curated record.